RNAcentral lists this ribosomal RNA (254 nucleotides) under uncultured bacterium. RNAcentral describes it as "partial 16S ribosomal RNA". It matches the Rfam family "Bacterial small subunit ribosomal RNA", at positions 524 to 776 of the family's 1533-position model. The record is from RNAcentral.
UACGUAGGUGGCAAGCGUUGUCCGGAUUUACUGGGCGUAAAGAGCGCGCAGGCGGCCGUUCAAGUCGGGUGUGAAAGCCCCCGGCUCAACUGGGGAGGGUCACGCGAUACUGAUCGACUCGAAGGCAGGAGAGGGUAGUGGAAUUCCCGGUGUAGUGGUGAAAUGCGUAGAUAUCGGGAGGAACACCAGUGGCGAAGGCGGCUACCUGGGCUGUUUCUUGACGCUGAGGCGCGAAAGCUAGGGGAGCAAACGGG